RNAcentral lists this ribosomal RNA (496 nucleotides) under uncultured bacterium. RNAcentral's name for it is "partial 16S ribosomal RNA". It matches the Rfam family "Bacterial small subunit ribosomal RNA", at positions 29 to 507 of the family's 1533-position model. The record is from RNAcentral.
AUGAACGCUGGCGGCGUGCCUAAUACAUGCAAGUCGAGCGAACAGAUGAGGAGCUUGCUCCUCUGACGUUAGCGGCGGACGGGUGAGUAACACGUGGAUAACCUACCUAUAAGACUGGGAUAACUUCGGGAAACCGGAGCUAAUACCGGAUAAUAUAUUGAACCGCAUGGUUCAAUAGUGAAAGACGGUUUUGCUGUCACUUAUAGAUGGAUCCGCGCCGCAUUAGCUAGUUGGUAAGGUAACGGCUUACCAAGGCAACGAAGCGUAGCCGACCUGAGAGGGUGAUCGGCCACACUGGAACGGAGACACGGUCCAGACUCCUACGGGAGGCAGCAGUAGGGAAUCUUCCGCAAUGGGCGAAAGCUUGACGGAGCAACGCCGCGUGAGUGAUGAAGGUCUUCGGAUCGUAAAACUCUGUUAUUAGGGAAGAACAAAUGUGUAAGUAACUAUGCACGUCUUGACGGUACCUAAUCAGAAAGCCACGGCUAACUACGUG